RNAcentral lists this transfer RNA (31 nucleotides) under Colchicum montanum. RNAcentral describes it as "partial transfer RNA-Phe". Lineage: Eukaryota; Viridiplantae; Streptophyta; Magnoliopsida; Liliales; Colchicaceae. The record is from RNAcentral.
GGGCNUGGGUAGUCAGUGAAGAGGCAGAUGA